CCUACGGGAGGCUGCAGUGGGGAAUAUUGGACAAUGGGCGAAAGCCUGAUCCAGCCAUGCCGCGUGUGUGAAGAAGGCCUUCGGGUUGUAAAGCACUUUCAGUGGGGAAGAAAGCCUUGGGGCUAAUACCCUCGAGGAAGGACAUCACCCACAGAAGAAGCACCGGCUAACUCCGUGCCAGCAGCCGCGGUAAUACGGAGGGUGCGAGCGUUAAUCGGAAUUACUGGGCGUAAAGCGCGCGUAGGCGGUCUGAUAAGCCGGUUGUGAAAGCCCCGGGCUCAACCUGGGAACGGCAUCCGGAACUGUCAGGAUAGAGUGCAGGAGAGGAAGGUAGAAUUCCCGGUGUAGCGGUGAAAUGCGUAGAGAUCGGGAGGAAUACCAGUGGCGAAGGCGGCCUUCUGGACUGACACUGACGCUGAGGUGCGAAAGCGUGGGUAGCAAACAGGAUUAGAUACCCGGGUAGUU
This 465-nucleotide ribosomal RNA is filed under the name Vreelandella stevensii. Its description in RNAcentral is "partial 16S ribosomal RNA". It matches the Rfam family "Bacterial small subunit ribosomal RNA", at positions 338 to 795 of the family's 1533-position model. Lineage: Bacteria; Pseudomonadati; Pseudomonadota; Gammaproteobacteria; Oceanospirillales; Halomonadaceae. The record is from RNAcentral.